RNAcentral lists this ribosomal RNA (512 nucleotides) under uncultured bacterium. Its description in RNAcentral is "partial 16S ribosomal RNA". It matches the Rfam family "Bacterial small subunit ribosomal RNA", at positions 28 to 507 of the family's 1533-position model. The record is from RNAcentral.
GAUGAACGCUGGCGGCGUGCCUAAUACAUGCAAGUCGAACGAAACUUCUUUAUCACCGAGUGCUUGCACUCACCGAUAAAGAGUUGAGUGGCGAACGGGUGAGUAACACGUGGGCAACCUGCCCAAAAGAGGGGGAUAACACUUGGAAACAGGUGCUAAUACCGCAUAACCAUAGUUACCGCAUGGUAACUAUGUAAAAGGUGGCUAUACUACCGCUUUUGGAUGGGCCCGCGGCGCAUUAGCUAGUUGAUAGGGUAAAGGCUUACCAAGGCAAUGAUGCGUAGCCGAAUUGAGAGGUUGAUCGGCCACAUUGGGACUGAGACACGGCCCAAACUCCUACGGGAGGCAGCAGUAGGGAAUCUUCCACAAAGGGCGAAAGCCUGAUGGAGCAACGCCGCGUGGGUGAAGAAGGUCUUCGGAUCGUAAAACCCUGUUGUUAGAGAAGAAAGUGCGUGAGAGUAACUGUUCACGUUUCGACGGUAUCUAACCAGAAAGCCACUGCUAACUACGUG